AUUGAACGCUGGCGGCAGGCCUAACACAUGCAAGUCGAACGAGCGGCGGACGGGUGAGUAAUGUUUGGGGAUCUGCCCGAUGGAGGGGGAUAACUACGGGAAACGGUAGCUAAUACCGCAUACUAUAGGAUGAACCCAAUUGGGAUUAGGUAGUAGGUGGGGUAAAGGCUCACCUAGCCGACGAUCUCUAGCUGGUCUGAGAGGAUGAUCAGCCACACUGGGACUGAGACACGGCCCAGACUCCUACGGGAGGCAGCAGUGGGGAAUAUUGCACAAUGGGGGCAAGCCUGAUGCAGCCAUGCCGCGUGUAUGAAGAAGGCCUUAGGGUUGUAAAGUUCUUUCGGCGGGGAGGCGUUACCCGCAGAAGAAGCACCGGCUAACUCCGUGCCAGCCGCCGCGGUAAUUC
This 406-nucleotide ribosomal RNA is filed under the name uncultured bacterium. RNAcentral describes it as "partial 16S ribosomal RNA". It matches the Rfam family "Bacterial small subunit ribosomal RNA", at positions 30 to 526 of the family's 1533-position model. The record is from RNAcentral.